This 484-nucleotide ribosomal RNA is filed under the name uncultured bacterium. RNAcentral describes it as "partial 16S ribosomal RNA". It matches the Rfam family "Bacterial small subunit ribosomal RNA", at positions 30 to 507 of the family's 1533-position model. The record is from RNAcentral.
UGAACGCUGGCGGCAUGCCUUACACAUGCAAGUCGAACGGCAGCACGGGUGCUUGCACCUGGUGGCGAGUGGCGAACGGGUGAGUAAUACAUCGGAACAUGUCCUGUAGUGGGGGAUAGCCCGGCGAAAGCCGGAUUAAUACCGCAUACGAUCUACGGAUGAAAGCGGGGGACCUUCGGGCCUCGCGCUAUAGGGUUGGCCGAUGGCUGAUUAGCUAGUUGGUGGGGUAAAGGCCUACCAAGGCGGCGAUCAGUAGCUGGUCUGAGAGGACGACCAGCCACACUGGGACUGAGACACGGCCCAGACUCCUACGGGAGGCAGCAGUGGGGAAUUUUGGACAAUGGGCGAAAGCCUGAUCCAGCAAUGCCGCGUGUGUGAAGAAGGCCUUCGGGUUGUAAAGCACUUUUGUCCGGAAAGAAAUCCUUGGCCCUAAUACGGUCGGGGGAUGACGGUACCGGAAGAAUAAGCACCGGCUAACUACGUG